UACAGAGGGUGCGAGCGUUAAUCGGAAUUAUUGGGCGUAAAGAGCUCGUAGGCGGCUUGUCGCGUCGGCUGUGAAAACCUAGGGCUCAACCCUGGGCCUGCAGCCGAUACGGGCAAGCUAGAAUUCGGUAGGGGAGACUGGAAUUCCUGGUGUAGCGGUGAAAUGCGCAGAUAUCAGGAGGAACACCGGUGGCGAAGGCGGGUCUCUGGGCCGAUAUUGACGCUGAGGAGCGAAAGCGUGGGGAGCGAACAGG
This 253-nucleotide ribosomal RNA is filed under the name uncultured bacterium. RNAcentral describes it as "partial 16S ribosomal RNA". It matches the Rfam family "Bacterial small subunit ribosomal RNA", at positions 524 to 776 of the family's 1533-position model. The record is from RNAcentral.